AAGUCGUAACAAGGUUUCCGUAGGUGAACCUGCGGAAGGAUCAUUAACGAAUCAUUAAGGUGGGUUGUUAGGGGGGAGGAGGAUUAGUGCGUAAGCACUAAUCUGACCUGACCCAACCCAACCCAACAUUAACCCGACCGCAAGGUCAGGUCCUUUUUGUGGUGUAGGUGCUUCCUCUUGGGGGAGCGGCUUAGCCCACACAUUAAUGCCUGUAUGUUUGACUGUUUAUACUAUACGAAUAUAUAUACAACUUUUAACAAUGGAUCUCUUGGCUCUU
Molecule: unclassified non-coding RNA, 277 nt
Filed under: Rozellomycota sp.
Lineage: Eukaryota; Fungi; Rozellomycota
Description: Cryptomycota sp. partial contains small subunit ribosomal RNA, internal transcribed spacer 1, and 5.8S ribosomal RNA
Rfam family: Eukaryotic small subunit ribosomal RNA (bases 1-46)
Source: RNAcentral